This 512-nucleotide ribosomal RNA is filed under the name uncultured bacterium. Its description in RNAcentral is "bacterial SSU rRNA". It matches the Rfam family "Bacterial small subunit ribosomal RNA", at positions 15 to 518 of the family's 1533-position model. The record is from RNAcentral.
GAUCCUGGCUUAGGAUGAACGCUAGCUACAGGCUUAACACAUGCAAGUCGAGGGGCAUCAUGACGAUAGCUUGCUAUGUGAUGGCGACCGGCGCACGGGUGAGUAACGCGUAUCCAACCUUCCCCUUAGUAGGGCAUAGCCCGGCGAAAGUCGGAUUAAUACCCUAUGUUAUUCGUAGAGGACAUCUGAAAUGAAUCAAAGAUUUAUCGCUAAGGGAUGGGGAUGCGUCCGAUUAGGUAGUCGGCGGGGUAACGGCCCACCGAGCCUUCGAUCGGUAGGGUCCUGAGAGGAAGGUCCCCCACACUGGUACUGAGACACGGACCAGACUCCUACGGGAGGCAGCAGUGAGGAAUAUUGGUCAAUGGGCGUAAGCCUGAACCAGCCAAGUAGCCGUGCAGGAUGACGGCCCUAUGGGUUGUAAACUGCUUUUAUACGGGGAUAAAGUGAGGGACGUGUCCCUUAUUGUAGGUACCGUAUGAAUAAGGACCGGCUAAUUCCGUGCCAGCAGCAGC